This 464-nucleotide ribosomal RNA is filed under the name Vreelandella stevensii. Its description in RNAcentral is "partial 16S ribosomal RNA". It matches the Rfam family "Bacterial small subunit ribosomal RNA", at positions 338 to 795 of the family's 1533-position model. Lineage: Bacteria; Pseudomonadati; Pseudomonadota; Gammaproteobacteria; Oceanospirillales; Halomonadaceae. The record is from RNAcentral.
CCUACGGGAGGCAGCAGUGGGGAAUAUUGGACAAUGGGGGCAACCCUGAUCCAGCCAUGCCGCGUGUGUGAAGAAGGCCCUCGGGUUGUAAAGCACUUUCAGUGAGGAAGAACGCCUGGUGGUUAAUACCCAUCAGGAAAGACAUCACUCACAGAAGAAGCACCGGCUAACUCCGUGCCAGCAGCCGCGGUAAUACGGAGGGUGCGAGCGUUAAUCGGAAUUACUGGGCGUAAAGCGCGCGUAGGUGGCUUGAUAAGCCGGUUGUGAAAGCCCGGGCUCAACCUGGGAACGGCAUCCGGAACUGUCAAGCUAGAGUGCAGGAGAGGAAGGUAGAAUUCCCGGUGUAGCGGUGAAAUGCGUAGAGAUCGGGAGGAAUACCAGUGGCGAAGGCGGCCUUCUGGACUGACACUGACACUGAGGUGCGAAAGCAUGGGUAGCAAACAGGAUUAGAUACCCCUGUAGUC